This 385-nucleotide ribosomal RNA is filed under the name uncultured bacterium. Its description in RNAcentral is "bacterial SSU rRNA". It matches the Rfam family "Bacterial small subunit ribosomal RNA", at positions 425 to 793 of the family's 1533-position model. The record is from RNAcentral.
GUAAAGCACUUUCAGUAGGGAGGAAGGUAGUGUAGUUAACACCUGCACUUAUUUGACGUUACCUACAGAAGAAGCACCGGCUAACUACCGUGCCAGCAGCCGCGGUAAUACGGAGGGUGCGAGCGUUAAUCGGAAUUACUGGGCGUAAAGCGCAUGCAGGCGGCCUGUUAAGUCAGAUGUGAAAGCCCGGGGCGUUAACCUCGGAAUUGCAUUUGUAAACUAGGCAGGCUAGAGUCUUGUAGAGGGGGGUAGGAAUUUCAGGUGUAGCGGUGAAAUGCGUAGAGAUCUGAAGGAAUACCAGUGGCGAAGGCGGCCCCCUCGGACAAAGACUGACGCUCAGACUGCGAAAGCGUGGGGAGCAAACAGGAUUAGAUACCCCUGGUAG